UACGAAGGGUGCAAGCGUUACUCGGAAUUACUGGGCGUAAAGCGUGCGUAGGUGGUGAGUUAAGUCUGUCGUGAAAGCCCCGGGCUCAACCUGGGAAUGGCGAUGGAUACUGGCUCGCUAGAGUGCGGUAGAGGAGAGUGGAAUUCCCGGUGUAGCAGUGAAAUGCGUAGAGAUCGGGAGGAACAUCUGUGGCGAAGGCGACUACCUGGACCAGCACUGACACUGAGGCACGAAAGCGUGGGGAGCAAACAGG
Molecule: ribosomal RNA, 253 nt
Filed under: uncultured bacterium
Lineage: Bacteria
Description: partial 16S ribosomal RNA
Rfam family: Bacterial small subunit ribosomal RNA
Source: RNAcentral